ACCUGCGGAGGGAUCAUUACUGAGUUUACGCUCUACAACCCUUUGUGAACAUACCUAUAACUGUUGCUUCGGCGGGUAGGGUCUCCGUGACCCUCCCGGCCUCCCGCCCCCCCGGGCGGGUCGGCGCCCGCCGGAGGAUAACCAAACUCUGAUUUAACGACGUUUCUUCUGAGUGGUACAAGCAAAUAAUCAAAACUUUUAACAACGGAUCUCUUGGUUCUGGCAUCGAUGAAGAACGCAGCGAAAUGCGAUAAGUAAUGUGAAUUGCAGAAUUCAGUGAAUCAUCGAAUCUUUGAACGCACAUUGCGCCCGCCAGCAUUCUGGCGGGCAUGCCUGUUCGAGCGUCAUUUCAACCCUCAAGCUCUGCUUGGUGUUGGGGCCCUACAGCCGAUGUAGGCCCUCAAAGGUAGUGGCGGACCCUCCCGGAGCCUCCUUUGCGUAGUAACUUUACGUCUCGCACUGGGAUCCGGAGGGACUCUUGCCGUAAAACCCCCUAAUUUUCCAAAGGUUGACCUCGGAUCAGGUAGGAAUACCCGCUGAACUUAAGCAUA
This 551-nucleotide ribosomal RNA is filed under the name Colletotrichum gloeosporioides. Its description in RNAcentral is "eukaryotic LSU rRNA". The stretch from base 194 to 347 matches the Rfam family "5.8S ribosomal RNA". The record is from RNAcentral. Lineage: Eukaryota; Fungi; Ascomycota; Sordariomycetes; Glomerellales; Glomerellaceae.